RNAcentral lists this ribosomal RNA (286 nucleotides) under Leuconostoc mesenteroides. Its description in RNAcentral is "partial 16S ribosomal RNA". It matches the Rfam family "Bacterial small subunit ribosomal RNA", at positions 356 to 636 of the family's 1533-position model. Lineage: Bacteria; Bacillati; Bacillota; Bacilli; Lactobacillales; Lactobacillaceae. The record is from RNAcentral.
AGGGAAUCUUCCACAAUGGGAGAAAGCCUGAUGGAGCAACGCCGCGUGUGUGAUGAAGGCUUUCGGGUCGUAAAGCACUGUUGUAUGGGAAGAACAGCUAGAAUAGGAAAUGAUUUUAGUUUGACGGUACCAUACCAGAAAGGGAGGGCUAAAUACGUGCCAGCAGCCGCGGUAAUACGUAUGUCCCGAGCGUUAUCCGGAUUUAUUGGGCGUAAAGCGAGCGCAGACGGUUUAUUAAGUCUGAUGGAAAGCCCGGAGCUCAACUCCGGAAUGGCAUGGAAACUGG